AAGGAGAAUGAAAAGAAAAAAAAGAAAAUGGAUAACAUGAGGACACGUAAUCAGAAAUUUGGCGGUUGGGAGAAGCCGCUGCAAAACUGCUGUGCUCUCUGAAAGUCUCAACCUUUAAGGAAGAAGAAGAGAGAGAGAGAGACAAAGAGAGCUCAAAUGGCAACCGAAGCACUAUCAACUGUAACUGCAAGUUCAAAAGGAAUCUUCCUCUGCCCCCACCAAUAUCACGAAUUCAACCGCCACCGCUUUCUCUCUCUGCAAAACCACCACCACCACCACCAUAACACUAGCUCAUCAAAACCAAGGCCCAUCACCAGCUUCCUCGUCCAUCUGAAGCCCAUUGGGCCUAGGGCCCACCAACACUCAAAGCCCAAGCCCAAAUUGACCAGAGCACGAGCCGCCGACUCAACCCAGCCUACCACCGUCUCCUCCACCGCCGACAAGACCGUCGUUCCUGACGACCAGUUCUCCCUCGCUAAGGUUUCGUUUGGGGUUAUUGGUCUGGGUGGUGGGCUUUCACUCUUGUCGUAUGGUUUUGGGGCGUAUUUUAAUAUCCUUCCUGGGUCUGAAUGGUCAGCAUUGAUGCUCACAUAUGGCUUCCCACUUGCAAUCAUUGGUAUGGCUUUCAAGUAUGCAGAGCUAAAGCCAGUACCAUGCUUGACUUAUUCGGAUGCUCUGAAAUUAAGGGAAACAAGUGCCACUCCAAUCCUUACGCAGGUCAGGAAUGAUGUUACGAGGUAUCGCUAUGGAGAUGAGCAGCAUUUGGAUGAGGCAUUGAAACGAAUUUUCCAGUAUGGUCAGGGUGGGGGAAUUGCUCGGAGGAGUGCACCUACUCUCCAAAGCAUUCGCGAAGAGAGCGUGACCACCAUUAUUCCCCAGUUGCUACUAUUUCAAAUUAUACUGUAUGUUUUUAGGUCACAGAAGAUGGUAGAUACUCUCUAGUCCUGGUAUUUGAGGCAAAAGCUCUGCAGUUAUCAGAUUUUGAACAAAGACAGGCUAAAUUUGCGUCAUUCUUCGGACCAGGAAUCACAUCUGAAAUCGUGAAGGGAGAGAAGAAUCUAUAUGAAGUCCGACUCAUUUCUAACUCCAACGUUGACCCCUCUGCAUAACCCUUGUAAAAAAAUGCAAUGUAGUUUAAUCAUUACACAGCCUCUUGUCACUUGUAAAACUGUUGUUUAAAUUCAGUUGACAAAAUCUUAUUGUAUCAUACUUACAAUUUUGAAUAGAGAAUCAGAAACACGACAAAAUCUCGUUUUUUU
RNA transcript from Prunus avium (sweet cherry), 1259 nucleotides. RefSeq lists it as uncharacterized. The record is from RefSeq and is a predicted model, not a curated record. Lineage: Eukaryota; Viridiplantae; Streptophyta; Magnoliopsida; Rosales; Rosaceae.